CAGCAGCAGCCGCGGUAAUACAGAGGGUGCGAGCGUUAAUCGGAUUUACUGGGCGUAAAGCGUGCGUAGGCGGCUAAUUGAGUCGGAUGUGAAAUCCCUGAGCUUAACUUAGGAAUUGCAUUCGAUACUGGGAAGCUAGAGUAUGGGAGAGGAUGGUAGAAUUCCAGGUGUAGCGGUGAAAUGCGUAGAGAUCUGGAGGAAUACCGAUGGCGAAGGCAGCCAUCUGGCCUAAUACUGACGCUGAGGUACGAAAGCAUGGGGAGCAAACAGGAUUAGAUACCCCGGUAGUCCCUGUCUCUUAUAC
Molecule: ribosomal RNA, 304 nt
Filed under: uncultured bacterium
Lineage: Bacteria
Description: partial 16S ribosomal RNA
Rfam family: Bacterial small subunit ribosomal RNA
Source: RNAcentral